This 414-nucleotide ribosomal RNA is filed under the name uncultured bacterium. RNAcentral describes it as "bacterial SSU rRNA". It matches the Rfam family "Bacterial small subunit ribosomal RNA", at positions 28 to 490 of the family's 1533-position model. The record is from RNAcentral.
GACGAACGCUGGCGGCAGGCCUAACACAUGCAAGUCGAGCGCCCAGCAAUGGGAGCGGCAGACGGGUGAGUAACGCGUGGGAACCUUCCCAAUGGUACGGAAUAGCUCAGGGAAACUUGAGGUAAUACCGCAUACGCCCGAAAGGGGAAAGAUUUAUCGCCGUUGGAUGGGCCCGCGUAGGAUUAGCUAGUUGGUGAGGUAAUGGCUCACCAAGGCGACGAUCCUUAGCUGGUUUGAGAGAAUGACCAGCCACACUGGGACUGAGACACGGCCCAGACUCCUACGGGAGGCAGCAGUGGGGAAUCUUGGACAAUGGGCGCAAGCCUGAUCCAGCCAUGCCGCGUGAGUGACGAAGGUCUUCGGAUUGUAAAGCUCUUUUGCCAGGGACGAUAAUGACGGUACCUGGAGAAUAAG